RNAcentral lists this ribosomal RNA (241 nucleotides) under uncultured bacterium. RNAcentral describes it as "partial 16S ribosomal RNA". It matches the Rfam family "Bacterial small subunit ribosomal RNA", at positions 15 to 253 of the family's 1533-position model. The record is from RNAcentral.
GAUCCUGCUCAGGAUGAACGCUAGCGACAGGCUUAACACAUGCAAGUCGAGGGGCAUCAUGAGGUAGCAAUACCUUGAUGGCGACCGGCGCACGGGUGAGUAACGCGUAUGCAACCUGCCUGAUACCGGGGUAUAGCCCAUGGAAACGUGGAUUAACACCCCAUAGUACUUUUAUCCUGCCUGGGAUGGGAGUUAAAUGUUCAAGGUAUCGGAUGGGCAUGCGUCCUAUUAGUUAGUUGGG